This 253-nucleotide ribosomal RNA is filed under the name uncultured bacterium. Its description in RNAcentral is "partial 16S ribosomal RNA". It matches the Rfam family "Bacterial small subunit ribosomal RNA", at positions 524 to 776 of the family's 1533-position model. The record is from RNAcentral.
GACAGAGGUGCCGAGCGUUAGGCGGAAUCACUGGGCUUAAAGCGUGUGUAGGUGGAUGCCUAAGUACCUUGUGAAAUCCCACGGCUUAACCGUGGAACUGCUUGGUAUACUGGGUGUCUUGAGCCAGCUAGGGGCUACCGGAACAAAUGGUGGAGCGGUGAAAUGCGUAGAUAUCAUUUGGAACGCCAAUGGUGAAAACAGGCGACUGGGGAUGAGCUGACACUGAGACACGAAAGCCAGGGGAGCAAACGGG